AGGCUUUCCGCCAGAGAACUACAAGUGAAAAACUUAAAACUCAAAGGACUUGACGGUGUCCCAUACCGACCUAGAGGAGCCUGUCCUAUAAUCGAUACCCCCCGCUCAACCUGACCUUAGCUAGCCAUCCCAGCCUAUAUACCGCCGUCGACAGUCUACCCCAUGAGGGCUCAACAGUAGACACAACAGCCCCUCCCGCUAACACGUCAGGUCAAGGUGUAGCAUAUGCUAAGGAAGAGAUUGGCUACAUUUUUUAAUUUAAAAAACCACGAAAUGCAGCAUGAAACACUACAUAAAGGUGAAUUUAGCAGUAAACUAGACAAGAGAGUCUAUUUUAACCUCGCUCUGGGACGCG
Molecule: ribosomal RNA, 355 nt
Filed under: Meroles ctenodactylus
Lineage: Eukaryota; Metazoa; Chordata; Lepidosauria; Squamata; Lacertidae
Description: partial 12S ribosomal RNA
Rfam family: Bacterial small subunit ribosomal RNA
Source: RNAcentral